Long non-coding RNA from Salvia splendens (bonfire salvia), 3745 nucleotides. RefSeq lists it as uncharacterized. NCBI's taxonomy places the organism in Eukaryota, Viridiplantae, Streptophyta, Magnoliopsida, Lamiales, Lamiaceae. The transcript is spliced from 5 exons. The record is from RefSeq and is a predicted model, not a curated record.
CAAAUACUUGGAAAUGAAUCGACUCCCUCCCAAGUCCCAACUCUCCAACUCUCUCUUCUAUCUAUCUCUCCACUUUCUCUCCAUACAAAAACCACAAAAACCCUAAGUCCGAUUCCGACCCACAACGCCGUCGAAGCCGCCGAUUUUAGCUUGUUGGCCCUGAGGAAGAAGACGACGCAGGGAGGACGAUGACGAACCCUAGUUCUUCCGACCAUGACCGUGGAGCUCCGCCGUUCAAUUUUCCAGAAAUCGAUGAGAAUUUUGAGAGGACUAAGCACUGACAAGACCGUCCGCUUCCGCAGCCUCAAAAACCAAAGGAGAAGGGAAAGGUCGCCUCUUUUGAGGAGAGGACGAAGGCUAGACACGACCGUUCGCUUCCGCAUCCAAUUCGUCCAACUCGAAAUCACGAAGAUGGGACCUUCACUACGAGGGUGCACUACAAAGGUGUAAUUGAGGUUGAGGAAGGGCGUGGGAGGCAGUACCUGAAUGGGGAGCUGGAAUACAUUCACAAGUGUGAUCCAGACAAAUAGUCAAAGCUGGAGGUUGAUGACGUCUUGGAGAAGCUAGGGAUUGAUGUCACUAGGCUAGACUACUUCUACCUGAAGCCGAGGAUGAGCUUGGAGGACGGACUGGUGUGGCUUUUUGACAACAAGUCUGCAUUGGAGAUGGCAGAGUUGGGCGUUCAUUAUGGGGUGAUUGAUGUCUAUGCAAUUCAAGUGGGGGCUGUGGUCAUUGAUGCAACUUAUGAGGUUGUUAGUCAGAUAACUCAAGAGCAUAUUGAAAGUUCGGGUAGAGAUAAUGUAUCUAGGGAACUGUGAUUUGAAGGACGUGAAGAUGGUUUGACAGUGAGUGAAGAUGAGAGUGAGGAAAUAGAUGAUGGGUCUGGUGAAAAAAAUUAGAGGGAUGAAGUACAUUACAGUGAAGAUGAUUGCCUUGAUACUAUUGGUUUUGAUGGUGAGGAUUUGAAGGGUGAAGAUAAGAUGUCGGUAGAGGGUGAAGAUAUAGAUGAGUUAGAGGACGAGAGUUUAAGGUCUGAGGAUGAAGAGUUAGAGGAUGAGGGAGCAGUGGCCGUCAAGGGGAAGUCUAAAGCGAUUGGAAAGGCUAAAGGAAAGGGAAAUGUUAAAGGGAAGGGCAAGGUUAAAGGGAAUAGAAAGGGUAAGGCUGAGGGGACAACAUGCAAGAAGAGAAAGGGUAAAGGGAAGGAAAAAGCUGCGAGAAAGGAUAAAGACGAAGGAAAAGCUGUGGAUGAAGAUGACAAUGUGGCUGAUCCUACUUUUUGUGGAUAAUGACUAUGAUCUCAGUAACAAGGAAGAAGAUGAAAUAAUGGUUGCGCAAGUGGAGGGGUGGAAGAAUGUGGUGAACUCAAAGCGCACCAUCGGUGAUGGUUCUGGUGAUGAUGAAGACAGUGAUAAUCUUCCCAGCCACUCACCUAGCUCAGGUACGGAGCCCGAUCAUGACUUGGGCGACGGUGACAAUGAAGUUCCCUCUAUUUUGAGCCGUAGGUACAAGGCUUCCACGAUCUCAAUGAUCCAAAAUGGGAAGUAGGGAUGCGGUUCAACACAAAGCAAGAAUUCACCGAACUUGUUUGGCAUCAAGGUGUGAAGUUAGGGAAGAAGUUGAGACUAAAGAAGAACGAUAAAAUAAGGUGUAUUGCUACUGUCAAUGAGUGUUGAGAAGCAAGAAGACUAAGGCAGGCUGUCCUUGGAUGGUCAACCUUACUUAUAGGAGUGGUUUUGGUUGUUGGCAGAUUUCACAACUCUGGAAUUUUCACAAGUGUGGAGGUGCUUCAUUCAACCAUGGAUGUGCUAACGCCAAGUACCUUAGUCAAUUAUAUAAGGAGGAUAUGAGGGUCUUUCCGGGGAUGACAGUAGGGCAGUUCAUCGAGAAGGUUCGUUGUGAGAUGAAUAUCACUAUAUCUUCUGGAAAGGCGAAGCGUGCUAUGGCCCGUGCGCGAAAUCUGAUCGAGGGGGAUCUAAUCAAGCAGUACAAGAGGCUGCAUGAUUACAAGGCAGAGAUUUUGAGGGCCAAUCCCGGGAGCACCGUUGUCUUAUCGACCCAACGUUUGUCAGAUGGUAUAGAUAAGUUCAAGGCGAUAUACAUCGCCUAUGAAGCAUGCAAGACUUCCUUCAAGAAGCAUUGCAGGCGCAUCGUAGGGUUGGAAGGGUGCCAUCUCAAGGGACAAGCUAAGGGCAUAUUGCUCACUGCCAUUGGUUUAGAUCCAAAUGAUUAGAUUUUUCCCAUAGCGUUUGCUGUUGUACGGAUAGAGAACACUGACACCUGGAAUUGGUUCUUGAGGUUGCUGGUUCUGGACUUGGAGAUCAAGGACUCCAGCAAGUGGACCUUCAUUUCAGAUAGACAAAAGGGCUUAAUUAAUGUCCUGCGGACCAAAUGCGAGGAUGCUGACCAUCGGUUUUGCGUGUGGAAUAUGCACCAAAAUUUCAAGAAGACUUUCCCUUCACCAACACUCAAGGGCAAAAUCUGGAAAGCAGUCCGUGCAACGAACACGUACGCCUUUGACAAUGUCAUGGAGGAGGUGAAGGAUCUGAACUCGGCUGCAUUCAAGUGGUUUACCACCCACAUGACGAAGGAGAGUUGGAGCCGGGCUUUCUUCGGGAGAAGCCACUAUAUGGCAUGCUGGAAUGUAUCCGAAUGUACUCGAUGGACAGAUUCACCUCACGACGGAAGAUGGGAGCAAGGCUGGAUGACUGUUUUGGGCCUAAAAUAAGAAAAAAGAUUGAAAAGCUAAAGGGGAAAAUUGGGGAGUGUAUGGUGAGGGAGGCUGGUGAGUGGAUAUAUCAGGUGAACACCAAGUUUAACGAGCAAUUCGUGGUUGAUCUGAGGGACCGGACUUGCAGCUGUCGGCGUUGGAUGUUGACGGAAAUACCGUGUCAUCACGCCAUUGCUGCCAUCGAGAUGACCAACGAGAAUGUGGACUCGUUUGUAGCUAAAUGCUACUCGAAGGAGACGUUCCAAAAGGUGUACGAGCCUAUUAUCUACCCGGUUCAAGGACCACAGCUGUGGCCGAAGACUCCCUCUCCCGACGUUGUUCCCACCUGAGCUCACGCGACUGCCCAGACGCCUCCUGAAAGGAGCUAGGCAAAAAAUAGUGGAAGAGCAAGCACAAAUCCGCAAGGAUAAAAUAAAGGCAGCCCUUCGGUUUGCUGAAGUCCAGGAUGAGGAUGAUGGUGGCAAGAGAAUGUCGAGAAAGGGGUUGAUGUCGGAGUAUACGUGCGGACUUUGUGGUGAAAAAGGUCACAACAAAAGGAGAUGCCCCCAAGGCAUUCAAUUGGGUCAACCGAAAAGGCCAACAACUAGGAAGAAACGUAAUCGAGAUGAAGAACAACCAACUUGUAUGUUGUGCCACCAACCCGGCCACAAUAGGGCAACUUGCACAAGUUCGAUUGCGGACAUGUAUAAGGAUCCAGCCACUUCGGAAGUUGAUGCCUCAACAUCUGUCUCACUGAAGAAGAAGAAGUAGAAUUAAUGGAAGGGUGUUUGUCAUUGUUAUGUUGUCUAUUAGCGAAGAUGGUUGUGUUGUAAUGAAUACUCUAAAUACUUGUUUUUGUUGUUGGCUACUUGUUUGAUGAUGGUGUGUACUAGUUUUUGUAUGGUUGGUACUUGUUUUUGUAUGGUGGUUUCGACUGUGCCAGUGCCAUACAAACUUGUUUUUUGACAUCCGUUGUAAAAUGUUCAGGAUGUAUUUGAUCAUGAUUAUGAGUAUCAAGGACUAGUUUGUAGUUUAUUA